This 71-nucleotide transfer RNA is filed under the name Marmota monax (woodchuck). RNAcentral's name for it is "tRNA.Ala". Lineage: Eukaryota; Metazoa; Chordata; Mammalia; Rodentia; Sciuridae. The record is from RNAcentral.
GGGGUUAUGGCUCAGUGAUACAGCACUCGCCUAGCACAUGUGAGGCACUGGGUUCAAUCCUCAGCACCCCA